Ruditapes philippinarum (Manila clam) is the source of this 677-nucleotide long non-coding RNA. RefSeq lists it as uncharacterized. NCBI's taxonomy places the organism in Eukaryota, Metazoa, Mollusca, Bivalvia, Venerida, Veneridae. The record is from RefSeq and is a predicted model, not a curated record. The transcript is spliced from 3 exons.
CCACACGGAAAUUUUGUUGACACAAGUAAGUAAUCAACGAUAAUCUAUUUAGGUUUCACCUUGAUUUAAGCCAGUAACCAUGAUUUUAAAUAAAGUCAUCGUAGGUGUUCUUUUCCUGGCAGCGUUUUGCAUACCUGGGAUGCUAGGUGGAAGUGGAAAUAAUUGUUGGGCUCCACCAAUGUUCUAUGGAUACGAAUGCAAGUCAGACACGGCUUUAUUUGGACACCCAGGCCAUGAGAUCGGGUAUUUGAUCAAGUUUAAUGGGAAUACGAUGCUUUGCUGCAAAGCAUUUUACUGCCCGAACGAUGAUUGCAAGCUUUAUGAUAUCGGAUGCAGCGCUAAAAGUUGGAGAACAAAACGGCUGCCUUGGGGAAACAAUCUUGCCAAACCGUCACUACAAUGCAAAGGCGUUUUUCUCGGGGCAGCUUACUCAUUUUCUCACUAGAAAUAACAAAGGCAGAUUCAAUUUCAUGCGAUGUUAAUAAGUACUUUUUUGAAAAGUAGCAAUAAAAUUGCUUAUUUUGUUUUACGAAAAGGAAAUACUGAUUUCACUAUAACUUUUGUCAUUUUUUUUUCAAUUAUUGGUUUAAAAGAAGUUUCCAAACUGAAACAAAUUGUUCGCUCGAAGAUGACACGUGGUGAAUUUGAAUACUUUUGAAAUAAAACAAUUCCUUUUA